GACGAACGCUGGCGGCGUGCUUAACACAUGCAAGUCGAACGGUAAGGCCCUUCGGGGUACACGAGUGGCGAACGGGUGCGUAACACGUGGGUGAUCUGCCCUGCACUUCGGGAUAAGCCUGGGAAACUGGGUCUAAUACCGGAUAGGACCCUGGGAUGCAUGUCCUGGGGUGGAAAGCUUUUGCGGUGUGGGAUGGGCCCGCGGCCUAUCAGCUUGUUGGUGGGGUGAUGGCCUACCAAGGCGACGACGGGUAGCCGGCCUGAGGGGUGACCGGCCACACUGGGACUGAGAUACGGCCCAGACUCCUACGGGAGGCAGCAGUGGGGAAUAUUGCACAAUGGGCGCAAGCCUGAUGCAGCGACGCCGCGUGAGGGAUGACGGCCUUCGGGUUGUAAACCUCUUUCAGCACCGACGAAGCGCAAGUGACGGUAGGUGCAGAAGAAGGACCGGCCAACUACGUGCCAGCCGCCGCUGUAA
This 477-nucleotide ribosomal RNA is filed under the name uncultured bacterium. RNAcentral describes it as "partial 16S ribosomal RNA". It matches the Rfam family "Bacterial small subunit ribosomal RNA", at positions 28 to 523 of the family's 1533-position model. The record is from RNAcentral.